GUCUCACAAAACCAAAUUGCGUCUUUGCUUGUUGGGACUUGGAGUGCCAGAGGUGUCCAAUAGAUGACAUAGGUGUGUUCUUGUUUAUCAGGUGAUGGCGGAUUGUUGAGUGGUUUUGGUUUUUCUAAAGUUUUUCCAUAAAAAUUACCGAUGAAUUCAUAAGAAUUCAAGUUUACUUCUGUGCAACCUGUUGUGAUGUUAUUUAUUCCGUAUGAGUUUUGGAUCACCUUUCAUAUUUCUUAUUAUAACGUGUAGGAAUGAAUAACGUGAAAGGCAACUAGCCUCUACGAGUAGCCUACCAUCAAUUCUUUCAUUAAAAAUCGUCGUUCUAUUGAAUGCUUCAUCAUAAUACGGUCACUAACCCCAGUGUGGACACUAGUUGUUUUUUCCAAACAUGUUUUCUACAAAUAAUAUUGACAGACAACGACAACUAUGGGAAUAUAAUCAAGGCCAUGGGUAAUCUUCAUCAGGUUUAUUGCAUAAACUUGAGAGAAUUCUCUUGAAAAGAUGCAGGACCCAUACCAACAUGUGCUGUAUUUCUCUGAAUGUUUUACUCGAGCAGUAGGAAGCAAUUAACUUUAGCGCAAUUAGUUUAUAGCGCCGUCAAGAAGCUGUGUUGUGUGUGUUGAUCGUCUCCACCAUGCACGCGAUAAUCAAGACCAGCAACGCCUUGACCAAGAAGAAGAAAAUAACGCAGAAGCAAAGAACGACGAUGUAAAUAGCGGGAACAGUUUUCCACACUGGUACGCUGUAUGACGUAGAGCAUUGCCAAAAUGGAAGUGCUCUUUGAAGAACUGAACGUCUAAAUCUUCUUCAGUCAGAUGAAGCUAACGGAUUCGGAAAUCGCCGAAGAAGCAGAGGCCAUCACAGCUGAAAAAAAAACGUGAGUCAAACGCCUGUGAGAAAUAGAUGUCAACUGGUGAAAAUAAAUAAGAAGGUGAUAUGGAAUUUUUCUUUUCU
This is a long non-coding RNA of Daphnia pulex (common water flea), 960 nucleotides long. RefSeq lists it as uncharacterized. The transcript is spliced from 5 exons. Lineage: Eukaryota; Metazoa; Arthropoda; Branchiopoda; Diplostraca; Daphniidae. The record is from RefSeq and is a predicted model, not a curated record.